GACGAACGCUGGCGGCGUGCUUAACACAUGCAAGUCGAACGGAAAGGCCCUGCUUUUGUGGGGUGCUCGAGUGGCGAACGGGUGAGUAACACGUGAGUAACCUACCCUUGACUUUGGGAUAACUUCAGGAAACUGGGGCUAAUACCGGAUAGGAGCUCCUGCUGCAUGGUGGGGGUUGGAAAGUUUCGGCGGUUGGGGAUGGACUCGCGGCUUAUCAGCUUGUUGGUGGGGUAGUGGCUUACCAAGGCUUUGACGGGUAGCCGGCCUAAGAGGGUGACCGGCCACAUUGGGACUGAGAUACGGCCCAGACUCCUACGGGAGGCAGCAGUGGGGAAUAUUGCACAAUGGGCGGAAGCCUGAUGCAGCAACGCCGCGUGCGGGAUGACGGCCUUCGGGUUGUAAACCGCUUUCGCCUGUGACGAAGCGUGAGUGACGGUAAUGGGUAAAGAAGCACCGGCUAACUACGUG
RNAcentral lists this ribosomal RNA (468 nucleotides) under uncultured bacterium. RNAcentral describes it as "partial 16S ribosomal RNA". It matches the Rfam family "Bacterial small subunit ribosomal RNA", at positions 28 to 507 of the family's 1533-position model. The record is from RNAcentral.